ACAAUGAAGAGUUUGAUCCUGGCUCAGGAUGAACGCUAGCUACAGGCUUAACACAUGCAAGUCGAGGGGCAUCAGGAAGAAAGCUUGCUUUCUUUGCUGGCGACCGGCGCACGGGUGAGUAACACGUAUCCAACCUGCCCUUUACUCGGGGAUAGCCUUUCGAAAGAAAGAUUAAUACCCGAUAGCAUAAUGAUUCCGCAUGGUUUCAUUAUUAAAGGAUUCCGGUAAAGGAUGGGGAUGCGUUCCAUUAGGUUGUUGGUGAGGUCACGGCUCACCAAGCCUUCGAUGGAUAGGGGUUCUGAGAGGAAGGUCCCCCACAUUGGAACUGAGACACGGUCCAAACUCCUACGGGAGGCA
RNAcentral lists this ribosomal RNA (357 nucleotides) under Bacteroides fragilis. RNAcentral describes it as "bacterial SSU rRNA". It matches the Rfam family "Bacterial small subunit ribosomal RNA", at positions 1 to 350 of the family's 1533-position model. Lineage: Bacteria; Pseudomonadati; Bacteroidota; Bacteroidia; Bacteroidales; Bacteroidaceae. The record is from RNAcentral.